Molecule: ribosomal RNA, 253 nt
Filed under: uncultured prokaryote
Description: partial 16S ribosomal RNA
Rfam family: Bacterial small subunit ribosomal RNA
Source: RNAcentral
ACGAAGGGUGCAAGCGUUAAUCGGAAUUACUGGGCGUAAAGGGUGCGUAGGCGGUUCGUUAAGUCUGUCGUGAAAUCCCCGGGCUCAACCUGGGAAUGGCGAUGGAUACUGGCGAGCUAGAGUGUGUCAGAGGAUGGUGGAAUUCCCGGUGUAGCGGUGAAAUGCGUAGAGAUCGGGAGGAAUACCGGUGGCGAAGGCGGCAUCCUGGACCAACAUUGACGCUGAACGGCGAAAGCUAGGGGAGCAAACGGGA